RNAcentral lists this long non-coding RNA (3170 nucleotides) under Sus scrofa (pig). Its description in RNAcentral is "lncRNA (ENSSSCG00005039137.1)". Lineage: Eukaryota; Metazoa; Chordata; Mammalia; Artiodactyla; Suidae. The record is from RNAcentral.
UUUUUCUUUUUCUUUUCUUUUUUUGUCUUUUUAGGGCCGCACCCGUGGCAUAUGGAAGUUCCCAGGUUAGGGGUCAGAUCAGAGCUGUAGCUGCUGGCCUACGCCAGAGCCACAGCAACGCCAGGUCUGAUCUGUACCAACACCACAGCUCAAGGCAAUGCCAGAUUCUUAACGCACUGAUCAAGGCCAGGGAUCAAACCCACAUUCUCAUGGAUACUAGUUGGGUUCAUUACGUCUAAGCCACGAUAGAAACUCUUUAGUUUGGUUCAUUGUGUAGCAGGUGCUACUGGUACCCCCACUCAACCCCCCAGGCCCAUGUGGAGGUCACCUGCAGACAGUUCCUGAACUGCUCCUUGUGUCUCUCCUGAGACAUUCCCAGCUCUGGAAGUGAGUGUGCGGCAGGCUGGACAUGGAGAAUUAAUACCCCCAGGGUAAUCCUCAAACAAGAAGGGUCCAGAGUGAGUGGAUAAACCCUCUAGCUUUCGGUCCCUCUGAGAGCAGGGCAAUUCCCAGUUUCUAGGCAUGUUCUAGUCUCAGGGACACUCCAGCAGAAUAGAACCUAAGUUGUCCCUGGGGAAAAGCUGCUUAUCCCUGUGUGCUUUGCUGGCUUUCCUCUCUUGCUUGUCUCACUUCUCUACUCCCUCAGCUUGCUUCUGGGAUUACCUCCUAAAUAAACAACUUUAUCCAGAUCUGUCUCAGGGUCAGCUUUUAGGGGAACCCAAAUUGAGACAAUGAACAACAACUCUUGCUAAGUGCUUUUUCAUUUCACCUGUUAAUUUCUGAACAUCCCCUGAAGGAGGUGUCCUUAACCCCAUUUGACAAAUGAAGAACAAAGAGAUGAAUACAAAGGCAAGGAUUCAAACUCACAUCUGUGUAGUUCUAAAACCUGUGUAGCUCCUUAACCACUAUGCUCUGUGGCCUCCCUAAUUGUCUGAUCUUCGCUGGGCCUUAUUUUUUUCACCUAUAAAAUGAGUUUGAAGGGAGGCAAGGUACCCAGUGACUCCUACAGUUAGGCCUGGUCAUUGAGAUGUAAGCAGAAGUUAUUGGGAGAGAAAGUGCUUUAAAGGGACUGAUUCGGGCAUUCCCUUCGUGGCUCAGCGGUUAAUGAACCCGACUAGAAUCCAUGAGGAUGUGGGUUUGAUCCCUGGCCUCGCUCAUUUAAUGCGCCAAUAAAAGAAUUAUCUUCCUGAGGCUUAAUAUGAUCAAAUAACUAGUCUGAGGUCACACGGCUAAGUGACAGAGCUGGAAGUUGCUCCCAUUCCACCAUCCUGCCUCCCAGUACCCUAGCCUUAAAAAAAAAAAACUGCUCAAGGCCACUCCUUCAUGAAGUCUCCCCUGAGUUCCCCCAACCUGAUGUGAGCUUUUCCUCUUGUGGAUGCCAGGGAUGUGGUUUCAACCUCUCCUGGCACACCCUGCCUGUCCAAGAGCCAUCACAGCAAGUGUUCAGGAGACGCAGCGAGGAUGCUUUCAUGCACCAGGCUUUUUGCUGUUUUACAUGCUUCUCAAUUUACUCCUCUCCAAAUUCCUAGCUUUUACCUUCUCAUCAGACCGCAUCUCCUUCCCCAGAGCACAGGAAUNNNNNNNNNNNAGAGAGUUCUUGCACCCUCACCGCCUGGAGCACAGGGCUCUGCACACUUAGUAACUGAGGGCUGUACUUACAGACUCUAAAUGUGGGCCCCUCAGGGGAGGAAGGGCCUGAGAUGCUGAGUUCCAGGGUGAGGUGAGCAGUCCCAAGCAAGCUGCGGCUCUGUUCUGUUUUCACUCUCCUUUUCUGUUUCCAGCCAAAGGACAUUCUCAACAAUCUUGGUGAUGCCAGGAGGCCCAGACGGGAUGGAAAACCAGUAGGCACACUUCUGCUUCUUGUCCUUAUCUCCCCUCUGGCUCUUCAUGCGACUCCAUUUGGAAAUAAACUGCAAAACCUAAUAGAUUUUCCAUGGAAAUGUGGCACAUACCAGGGAACAGUCCAUUCUCCUGGCUGCCUUAGUGAGGCCAAAAUCGGUGCUAGAGAAGGUUCUCUCAGCCACGGUGUCAUCCUGGAGACUUUGAGGGGGUGGGGGUGGGCAGGGUUUCUUUCAUUAUCUGCUCUCCCUCUCAGCAAGUUGGUGUGUCUUGAAUAGCUCCUCCAGGUCACAGCUUUGUUCCCUCCCCGCUUUUCCUUGACACUCUCCAAAGCACUGUUCUCCAGCCAUAUUUUGGUGUUUGGAACUAAUAACUAUGUAUCUGAAAACACUCUUUUUCUGGGUGGCAGUAAGUUGAUUCCAGAACAAUUGUGGUGCUUUUCUGUUUUGGUUUGUUUGUGUUUGAGAGGGCCUAAAAAGCUCCUGGGCCUUGGAUUUUUUUCUUUCUUUUUCUUUUUAGGGCCACACCUGAGGCAUAUGGAGGUUCCCAGGCUAGGGGUCCAGUCGGAGCUACAGCUGCCGGCCUAUGCCACAGCCACAGCCACAUCAGAUCUGAGCCACAUCUAUGACCUAUGCCACACAGCUCACAGCAACACCAGAUCCUUAACCCACUAAGCAAGGCCAGGGAUUGAACCCGCAACCUCACGGUUCCUAAUCAGAUUCAUUUCCACUGUGCCACGAUGGGAACUCCUGAGGCCAGGGAUUGAACCUGCACCUCAGCAGCGACCUGAGCUGCAGCAGUGACAAUGGUGGAUCCUUAACCUAAUGCGCCACAAGGGAAUUUCAGAAUAACUGUGGUUUUAAUACAAAAUCUGCCCGAUUGGUCCCAGACAGGAGAUUUGGGGCCUGGACUGCAGAGGAACCCUUUUAGGAGAGCAUGACAAAUGGGUAUUUCAACAUUUUGUCUCAGGGCCAUGGAAUCAUGGCAGCGUUAGACCCGCCUCCCCACCAAAGCUUGGGGAAGCAGCACACAGACGAAGAGGCUGAGUCAUAUGGACAAAGCUGGCUGUAAGGGAAACACUUUCAGUUGCUUUAGAAAUCAAUUUGUUACCAUCUAAGAUGUUCUCCAGAAAAGUUGUUUUUUGAUUGAUGGCAAAAAACCCCCUUCCAUUUGCAACUUUUUCCUUCUAAGACAAAAACCAGAGGCCAAGAUCCUGACUCUCUCAAGUCUGAAGACUUAAGAUGAAGGAUUAAUAGAGGUGGAAAAAGUUAAAUGAGAGUUUACAUGUGACAUCCUUAAAGAAGCCUUAAAAAAAAAAAAAAAAAAAAAAA